RNAcentral lists this long non-coding RNA (6719 nucleotides) under Gossypium barbadense (sea-island cotton). RNAcentral describes it as "long non-coding RNA (GBAR_LNC010470)". The record is from RNAcentral. Lineage: Eukaryota; Viridiplantae; Streptophyta; Magnoliopsida; Malvales; Malvaceae.
UGAAGCACAAUUAUACACAGAAACUUAUGUCAAAAACUUCGACAUAAAAUCUUCAACGAAAUUGACACUUAACAAAAGAUUAACUGCAAUUACUCGAAUUAACCUACCGAGAUUUGUUACUUCCAACACCUAUUCCUAAAAUAAAGAACCAACAUUGUUUAACCACGAGAAAUUAUCCAUUAGCACAAACUAUCAACGAUACGACACCGUCAUUUCUUAGAACUUUUAACAAAUUGACACAAUUGACAUCACAGAAGACAUACUUACCCGACCCGUACAAUAGAUUAGAAUGAGAAGUCCAACGAUCGACAACAACACGCUCAAACGAUUUAAAAACAAAAAGCGAAAGAAGAGGAAAAAGAAAAAGAGAAGGGAAAGAAGCAAAAAUGUAAAGGGGAAAAGAAAGGGAAAAAAAAAAGAAACAUUUAAAAUAUUUUGUCUCAGCCACUAGUAAAUUUUUCGACAACAAGCAAAAUAUUUCCUAACACAUACGAUGGGACUCGAACACGGGGCCAAACAAAAUACAGAGACUUAAAUAGUGAACCAACAAACUCAUUCUUAAUAUAAAUUUACAUAGAAUUACAUUUAACUAUGUAAUGCAUGGAUGGGGUUGUUUUAAAAUAAUAAAACUUUUAACAAUACAAUUCGAAUUUCAGACCUUAAACAUAAUAGUAAAACACAAAACCAUAGAUAUAAAGAUUUAAUUAAUAUAAAAUACUGCAAUAAUAAUAUUUUGUUAUUUUUAAAAUUUAAUAAUGUGGCACUAUUUUAUUGGUGCCUAAAAAUUAUAUUUUUUAUAUCAUCUUAAUAUAUUUUAUUUUUUUAAAUGAAGGAUGGGGUUUUAUAUUGAAAUUAAUAGAUAUAGAUAAGUGUAUAAUAAUAUUUUGUUAUUUUUACUAAUUAACAACCCUAAAAAGUCAAGAGUGCUCUCUGAGCAUCCCAAAGAAACAACGGUUACUGUGCUUUGGCAGCGGACGAGUGGUGACUUGAGGGUAUGGAAGCAGAAAAUGAAUUAGCUCUUUUUGAAGAAGAACUGAUCCAGUUAACAGUAAAGAGUUCGCUAGUAACUCCGGCAGAAAAUCCAACGCUGAUCUACACUGUUUGGACAAAGAAAUCAUAUAACCCAGAUAGUUUGAGAGCACAAUUAAGGAGUGUAUGGAAAACUAGAAAGAAAUUCGAGAUUAAUAUUGUGGGGCAGAACCUGUUUUCAAUAAUUUUUGAAGAUGAGGAUGAUUUAGAGCGUGUCAUGGAAGGGCGACCAUGGCUUUUUUGGAAACAACUAGUAAUUCUUGACCGAUUAACGGAACCACUGGAGCGAGGCAAGAUUGACUGAUUCUUUCCCCCUUUUUGGAUAAAAAUAGGGCCAAGUCCUCCAGAAUGUGACAAAAAGAACCUAAUGCAUGCGGUGGGAUCCACGUUUGGGGGUGUGAUACGAUCAGAGAUUAAAGAGGACUUUUGUCGCCUUAAGGUCAAUUUAGAUGUGCAGAAACCACUACAGAAAGGUCUGUUUGUCUCUCCAAACAAUCAAGGAAGAACCUGGCUUCCUUUCAAAUACGAAUCACUACCAACGUUCUGUUUUGGGUGUGGUCGGCAAGGCAUGGGGUUAAAGAUUGUACGAGUAUUUCAUUUGAAGAAAGAGUAAAGACAGAAGAUGAUUUACCUUAUUCAAUAGCGCUUAAAGCUGAAUCUUCUAUCAAAGGAAAAGAAAGCAUAUGGCUCGGAUCCCUGAAAAAGAAAACAAUGAUACAGUGUAACUAUACAGGCAUGGAAGAAACAGAUAGUAACGGUAAGUGCAGUACAGAAUUAUUGAUGCCGAAGACAGAUAGAUAUGAUGAUGGCAAAAAUUUCAAAAAAAGACCCAAAUGUUCUGGACGCAGAAGACCGGGGGGGAAAUAACAAAUUUAAUGAUGGUAUUGAAAGUCUUGGAAAGGGUAUGACCAAUGUGGAGGAAAAGUUACAGAAAAACCAAAGUAGCAUGGCAGAAAAUCAGAUAGAUGAAGUGGAGAUAAAAAAUUAUGAAGAAUGGGAAGCAACACAACAACCGAGAUAUCACAGAAGCAGCUGGCGUAGAUUGGACAAGAAGAACUUUGAUGCAAAUAUGUCAGAAAGGAUCUUGGAUAAACGCAAGUUUAAUCAUGAAAGCCUAGUUGAGAAUGCGACAUAUCUCACUAAUGAAAGUCCUGUUAAAAAAGUAAAGGAAAAUAAGGAUAGGGAGGAUAGUUAUGCCAAUUUUGAUUGUAAGCAGGCUGUUUUCCACGUUAGUUCAGAACUAACACAAGUUAUAUCGGCGGCUGCCAAUGGGCAAGCCGACUGGAAGCCAUGAAACUCCUAAGCUGGAAUGUCUGGAGACUGGGGAAUCCCCAGGCUAGUAGGAGAUUUCAACAUAUGUUGAAACUCUACAAACCCCAACUGGUCUUCAUAAUGGAGACAAAAUUGGAUCAUAGACGCAUGGAAUGAGUUAGGAGAAAAUGUGGUUUUCAGAACGGGAUAGAUAUAUCAGCAACGGGUACACGUGGUAGAAUUUGCCUUGCAUGGAACGAAAAUCACUUGGCUAUUCAGAAUCUCAUGUUGAUGUUGAAGUUAUUGAUGAAGAUAACUCAAACAAAUGGAGGUUCACUGGAUUUUAUGGGAAUCCACAAGUCUCAGAUAGGCAGGACUCUUAGAAUCUUCUUCGAAGGCUACGAGAAACAAAUUCAGAAGCAUGGUGUAUAUGUGGUGAUUUCAACGAGAUUAUGUAUGCUCAUAAAAAAACGGGAGGCGCAACAAGAAAUGAAAGGCAGAUGGAGGCUUUUCGAAAGGCCUUAACAGAUUAUGAAUUAGUCGAUUUGGGUUAUACGGGACAGAAGUAUACAUGGGAGAGGGGCAACUUCCAGACCACAAAUAUUCGAGAAUGGCUAGACCGGGGAGUGGCAAAUAAUGCUUGGCUCAAUUUGUAUAGUAAUUACAAGGUACAUAAUCUUAUGCAUUGAUUCUAUUAUCACUGUCCGAAUCUAAUCAAAACAGAGAUAAAUAGUGCACAUGAUGGGAGAAAUCGCUUUAAGUUUAAAUCUUGGUGGCUUAUGGAACCGAAUUGUGCUGAUGUUAUUAGGAAACUAUGGGAUGAGAAAUCAAGUGAUGCUCUUGCUAAAUUGGAAAAUCUUUGAGCUGGCCUACAAAAAUGGGGACGAAGAGUCAAGUACGCACAUGACAAGAAAAGGAAGAACCUUCGAGAUCGAUUGGUUCAACUUGAUAGUAUAGACCGGGAUGAUGAUGUGAUAGCAGAAAUCCUUGAUGUAAAGCUGGAGCUUAAUUGGGAAAUGGAAAAGGAGGAAUUAUAUCGGGAACAACAGGCUAGAGCCAAUUGGUUGCGUGAGGGUGAUAAAAAUACAACGUUUUUUCAUAGUAAAGCUACAUAAAGACAGAGGAUGAAUUAUAUCCGGGGAUUGGAAGACAAGAAUGAAUUCUUUAAGACAGAAAGAGAGGGUAUGGAGACUAUCGUUAAAGAUUAUUUUAUGGAGCUCUUUAAUUCAAAAGGGGUUGGCAACACAAACCAUCUUCUUUCAGGGGUUAAAAAGUGUAUCAAUGAGGAUAUGUACCGAAUAUUAGCAGUAGAUUAUAAGGAGGAAGAGAUAGUUGAAGCGCUUAAGAGCAUAAGGCCGACAAAAGCCUCUGGGCCUGACGGCUUCCCAACUAUUUUCUUUCAGAAAUUUUGGUAUAUUGUGGGAAAGGAGAUUUGUGGGUUUUUCUUAGGAGUCCUAAAUAAAGGUAUGUCUUUGCAACCUUUAAACCAUACGAAUAUAGUAUCAAUUCCAAAAUCGGCUCACCCGAAAAGCCUCAUAGAUUUUAGACCUAUCAGCCUAUGUUCGAUGUUUUACAAAAUAAUCUCAAAAACAAUAGCAAAUAGAUUCCAAAAGGUUCUUGAUUCUUGUAUGGAUCCAGCCCAAAGUGCGUUUGUCCCUGGAAGGCUCAUUCCUGAUAAUGUUCUCCUUCCAUAUGAAAUCUUACAUAUUCUCUGGAAUAAAAGAGUGGGGAAAAAAGGGUUCAUGGCCUUUAAGAUUGACAUGAGUAAGGCAUAUGAUAGGGUGGAAUGGGAGUUCCUAAAACAAAUGAUGAUUAAGAUGGGUUUUGAUGAAGAAUGGGUUGUGAGAAUUAUGCAUUGUAUUAAUACGGUUUCAUACUCGAUAAUUUUAAAUGGCAAUCCACUUAGCCCUUUGUUAUUUCUCAUAUGUAGCGAAGGACUUUCUACACUACUAAGGCUAGCAGUUGAGGAAGGAAGUCUAAAAGGGAUCACAGCAAGUAGACGAAGACCUCAGAUCUCUCACUUGUUAUUUACUGAUGACUGCAUUCUAUUCGGGGAAGCAACAGAGAGGGGAAUUACGACAUUUGAACAAAUUCUAAAAGAGUACGAGGAAUGUUCUGGCCAAUACAUUAAUACUGAAAAAUCAACGAUGUUUUUCAGGUCAAAUACUUUAGAGACAGUUCGAGCGAAUAUAUCAAACUGACUGGGAGUUAAAAGGUCCAAUAACUUUGAAAACUACUUGGGUUUACCAAAUAUGGUGGGCUGGAGAAAACGUGGGGCUUUUCAACAUCUAAAAGACCAUAUAAAGAUGAGAAUCGACAACUGGAGUACUCGUUUAUUAUCACAAGGAGGGAAAGAGGUGUUCAUUAAAGCCAUUUUACAGGAAAUUCCCACAUACACAAUGUCCUGCUUCUUAUUACUGAUGUCUAUGUACUAGAAAAUGGAACAAUUGAUGGCAAACAUCUGGUGGCAAAAGGGGAAAGGUAAACGCGGAAUUCAUUGGUGCCCUUGGUACACAUUAUGAAAAUUAAAAUAUGAGGGUGGACUUGGUUAUCGUAAUUUAGCUAAAUUCAAUUUGGCCCUCCUUGUAAAAUAAGGGUGGACAUUAAUUGAUAACCUGACGUCCCUUUUGGCGAGAACAUUAAAAGAAAAGUAUUAUCAAAACUCUGAUUUCUUAAGGUCGGAGUUAGGAAACUCACCAUCAUAUACUUGGAAAAGUAUAUGGGCAGCCAAAAGGCUACUGCUCUCAGGUCUAAGCUGGAGGGUUGGUGAUGGAAGUAAUAUCAAAAUUGAAGAAGACGCUUGGGUUCCAAAUGCUAAUGGUUUGCUGGUCCAGAAAACAGGCAAUAGGCAAGAUGUUACUAAAGUUUCAGAUCUUAUCGAGCAUAGAAACAGAACAUGGAAGUCGGAGUUGAUUCGCACUACCUUUUCGGAAGAGGUUGCACAACAGAUAUUAUUAAUCCCAUUGGCCAGUUCUCCUCACGACAACUUUCUGUGCUAGAGAGGUGAGGCAUCCGACGAAUAUACGGUAUGUAGUGGGUACAAAAUUCUCUUACAAAGUAAUGGAAAUUACAACCAAAGUGAGAAUAAUAAUUUUUACAAAAAAAUCUGGACAAGUGACCUUCCGUCAAAAAUUAGAAUUACAGCUUGGAGAUCCACUCUUAAUUAUCUCCCUACCCUAGUAAACUUAAAAACAAAGCGAGUAACUAAUAACGACAUUUGCCAGAGGUGCAUGCAAGGGCAGGAAAAUAGAGACCAUAUCUUUUGCGAUUGUGCUGUCACCAAAGAAACACGGGCAAAAUUAGAGUUUGCAUGGCCCCAGAACAUUUUACAGUCUGAAUAUAUGGAAUGGUUUACCUGGACGGUGUUAAACGGUAAAACAGAAGUAGUCCGAAUUUUUCUCUGCGCCAUAUGGGCUAUCUGGUCAACUAGGAAUAGUUGGGUUCACGAAACUCAGAAGCGGUCUAGAGCAGAAACAGCAAAUUUCAUCAAGAAGUACAUACAAGAACUAAAAGAUAUUGAAAGAAAGGAACUCACCUCGGAUCAGAAUCUCAAGUCAUGGAGGCCUCCGCCACAAGGUUUCUUCAAUAUCAACUUCGAUGCUGCUUUCGAUAAAAAGGAGAAAAAGUCAUGUUCAGAAGUAAUAAUCGGGAAUCCCAAAGGAGUAGUUACAGUAUCAAAAGAGCAAAUACAUACCAACAUUUCCUCUAGUUUUGCAGCUGAAGCCAUUGCAUGUUUACAGGUAGUUAAUAUAGGUAGAGAACUAGGCUUAACUCAUGUUAUCAUUAAAGGUGACUCUUUGACAGCGAUAAAGAAGAUACAGAAUCAAAAUAGAGACAGAUCGAAAAUAGGACCUUUUAUUUUUGACAUAAAAGAACGAAGAACAAUGUUUUUUGAAUGUCAAUUCCAACAUGUAAAGAGAACAGAAAAUGCAGAAGCACAUAACCUGGCAUCAGAGGGGCUAAAAAUGGACAGGCAAAGAGAUGCUAACCAUGGUCAUGCAACGACAUCUCUAAUCGGGGCUGGCAACGACACGUCUAAAAAUGGACAGGUUGAUACUGAAGCAAAAGUUGAUCGGGGCUGGAAACGACAUCUCUAAUCGGCUAUGAGUCAUCAUUAAAGGGUUUUGAUGAAAUUAAAGUAACAGAGAACAAGAUUCAGGAGAAGACGGAAGGAUAUGAAAUGGAAAGGGAAAGAAAAAAAGUAAAUCAAAAGUCAUGGGGCAACAAAUUUCCUUGAAAUCCUAGAACGUUUCCAAAAUGAAAAGAUAGAUGAAAGGAGGAGACGCACACAGAGCUCUCUGAUUGGGUGAAAGGGUUGCAUUUGUUUAGUUUCUAGAAUAUUCUUUUAUUAGUAGAAUUUGGGCCAAAAGUUUUAUGGUCUGAUUGUUUUUAUUUGUUUCCUGGAUAGUGUAUAUACCUUAUUUUUUAAUUAAUUAAAG